GAUGAACGCUGGCGGCGUGCCUAAUACAUGCAAGUCGAGCGAACGGACGAGAAGCUUGCUUCUCUGAUGUUAGCGGCGGACGGGUGAGUAACACGUGGAUAACCUACCUAUAAGACUGGGAUAACUUCGGGAAACCGCAGCUAAUACCGGAUAAUAUUUUGAACCGCAUGGUUCAAAAGUGAAAGACGGUCUUGCUGUCACUUAUAGAUGGAUCCGCGCUGCAUUAGCUAGUUGGUAAGGUAACGGCUUACCAAGGCAACGAUGCAUAGCCGACCUGAGAGGGUGGUCGGCCACACUGGAACUGAGACACGGUCCAGACUCCUACGGGAGGCAGCAGUAGGGAAUCUUCCGCAAUGGGCGAAAGCCUGACGGAGCAACGCCGCGUGAGUGAUGAAGGUCUUCGGAUCGUAAAACUCUGUUAUUAGGGAAGAACAUAUGUGUAAGUAACUGUGCACAUCUUGACGGUACCUAAUCAGAAAGCCACGGCUAACUACGUG
This 497-nucleotide ribosomal RNA is filed under the name uncultured bacterium. RNAcentral describes it as "partial 16S ribosomal RNA". It matches the Rfam family "Bacterial small subunit ribosomal RNA", at positions 28 to 507 of the family's 1533-position model. The record is from RNAcentral.